GUGCCACUUCAGCAGCACAUAUACUGAGAUUGGAACAAUCCAGAGAAGACAGGCAUGGCUCCUGCACAAGGAUGACACUCACAUUUGUGAAAUGUUCUAUAUAGAG
RNAcentral lists this small nuclear RNA (106 nucleotides) under Carlito syrichta (Philippine tarsier). Lineage: Eukaryota; Metazoa; Chordata; Mammalia; Primates; Tarsiidae. The record is from RNAcentral.